CCCAAGACUGCAGCGCCCGGCGCCUGGUUGCUGUGGCGCCGCGGCUACCGCCCGCACCCGGUGGCUGCGAGCCUGGGUCGGAGGGGCUCGGCGUGCGGAGCGGGGAUCGGGGAUGCUCCAGUAAAGGCGCGACCUGGGGCGGUGGGAAGGGUGGUCUUCCUCGCAGAGUUGCGCCCGAGGACGGAAAGUUUUUGCAUGCAGCGCAUCCUUCCCUCGCGGGUCCCUGUCGCCCACGGUGAAGCUCCCCAGCGGGGAUCCCCGCCACUUAGUGGGGAGGGGCCGAGCAGCCCCCUCCCGAGACGGCCCCCCAAGCCAGGGAGGGAACCCUGCUGACCUGUUCUCCCAGCCACCACUCCCUCCACCCUUCUUCUCUCACACGGUGGACCUUGGGCCGUGGAUGAUGAUGCGGAUGCCUUGGGAGCUGAGACCAGUGGUUCUAAGAACAGAGAAUGAACACCUAACCCUCAUCAACUGCUUUGCCAUCGUGGGCUUCUUUCAUCACACAGAGACCUAGCAUGGGUAUGAUGGGGGCUGUGAGACCCAUCAUCACCAUGAGAAAAACUCAAAUCUUUCCCCCUUCAAUAUAGGAAAGCCAAAUUAUGUUAUUGGAUGAAAUGUGUUGGCGGGAUCAAAGAAAUUAAAAAUCACAAAUGCUGGA
Molecule: long non-coding RNA, 658 nt
Organism: Phacochoerus africanus (Common warthog)
Lineage: Eukaryota; Metazoa; Chordata; Mammalia; Artiodactyla; Suidae
Exons: 2
Source: RefSeq, a predicted model, not a curated record